UACGGGGGGGGCAAGCGUUGUUCGGAAUUACUGGGCGUAAAGGGUGCGUAGGCGGCUUUCUAAGUUGGAUGUGAAAACUCUGGGCUCAACCCAGAGACUGCAUCCAAAACUGGAGAGCUUGGGUUCUGGAGGGGAAAGCGGAAUUCCUGGUGUAGCGGUGAAAUGCGUAGAUAUCUGGAGGAACACCGGUGGCGAAGGCGGCAUCCUGGACCGGCAUUGACGCUGAGGAGCGAAAGCCAGGGGAGCAAACGGG
RNAcentral lists this ribosomal RNA (253 nucleotides) under uncultured bacterium. RNAcentral describes it as "partial 16S ribosomal RNA". It matches the Rfam family "Bacterial small subunit ribosomal RNA", at positions 524 to 776 of the family's 1533-position model. The record is from RNAcentral.